AGGACGAACGCUGGCGGCGUGCUUAACACAUGCAAGUCGAGGGCACCCAGCAAUGGGUGACCGGCGAACGGGUGCGUAACACGUGAGCGACCUGCCGUACCUGUGGGGGAUAGCCGGCCCAACGGCCGGGUAAUACCGCAUACGAUCGUUGUGUCGCAUGGUGCGACGACGAAAGCUUGGUGCAAACCAGGCGCAGGACGAGGGGCUCGCGGCCUAUCAGCUUGUUGGCGGGGUAACGGCCCACCAAGGCGACGACGGGUAGC
RNAcentral lists this ribosomal RNA (263 nucleotides) under uncultured bacterium. RNAcentral describes it as "partial small subunit ribosomal RNA". It matches the Rfam family "Bacterial small subunit ribosomal RNA", at positions 26 to 287 of the family's 1533-position model. The record is from RNAcentral.